UACGUAGGGUGCGAGCGUUGUCCGGAAUUAUUGGGCGUAAAGAGCGUGUAGGCGGCCAGGUAGGUCUGCUGUGAAAACUCGAGGCUCAACCUCGAGACGUCGGCGGAAACCAUCUGGCUAGAGUCCGGAAGAGGAGAGUGGAAUUCCUGGUGUAGCGGUGAAAUGCGCAGAUAUCAGGAGGAACACCAAUGGCGAAGGCAGCUCGCUGGAACGGUACUGACGCUGAGGCGCGAAAGCGUGGGGAGCGAACAGG
Molecule: ribosomal RNA, 253 nt
Filed under: uncultured bacterium
Lineage: Bacteria
Description: partial 16S ribosomal RNA
Rfam family: Bacterial small subunit ribosomal RNA
Source: RNAcentral